UUUCUUUAAGAGAAAUGGAGUUGCACACACGGUCUUUUAGAUUUAAAUUUUAGAAGCAUUUACUUUUUUUUUUUUCUUUAUUCAAGGUCCACACCGCUGCAUUAAUUUUUCUUUAUGGAGAAAGUUCUGGUGAUUUAUUUUCUUGGCUAGGAGGAGCAUGUAGCGCUUAUUUUAUUUUGAGCUAGAUAUGACCGUUUUAUUUUGUCUGGAAUGGUGUAUGUUUUACGCUGCUUUCAAUUUGUUUAUACAACUUUUGUUGAAGUUUCAUUUAAGGAAGCACACAGCUGACUUGGAAGCACCACGGUGAUUUUCAA
Molecule: long non-coding RNA, 314 nt
Filed under: Vigna radiata
Lineage: Eukaryota; Viridiplantae; Streptophyta; Magnoliopsida; Fabales; Fabaceae
Description: long non-coding RNA (VRAD_LNC014201)
Source: RNAcentral